ACCUGGCUGGCUCAGUUGGUAUAGAGCAUCUGACUCCUGAUCUCAGGGUUGUGAGUUCAAGCCCCAUGAGGGGUA
RNAcentral lists this transfer RNA (75 nucleotides) under Felis catus (domestic cat). It matches the Rfam family "tRNA". From Rfam's summary of the family: Transfer RNA (tRNA) molecules are approximately 80 nucleotides in length. Their secondary structure includes four short double-helical elements and three loops (D, anti-codon, and T loops). RNAcentral also lists the same sequence under 6 other names. The record is from Rfam by way of RNAcentral. Lineage: Eukaryota; Metazoa; Chordata; Mammalia; Carnivora; Felidae.